GUGACUGCGUACCUUUUGUAUAAUGGGUCAGCGACUUAUAUUCUGUAGCAAGGUUAACCGAAUAGGGGAGCCGAAGGGAAACCGAGUCUUAACUGGGCGUUAAGUUGCAGGGUAUAGACCCGAAACCCGGUGAUCUAGCCAUGGGCAGGUUGAAGGGUGGGUAACACUAACUGGAGGACCGAACCGACUAAUGUUGAAAAAUUAGCGGAUGACUUGUGGCUGGGGGUGAAAGGCCAAUCAAACCGGGAGAUAGCUGGUUCUCCCCGAAAGCUAUUUAGGUAGCGCCUCGUGAAUUCAUCUCCGGGGGUAGAGCACUGUUUCGGCAAGGGGGUCAUCCCGACUUACCAACCCGAUGCAAACUGCGAAUACCGGAGAAUGUUAUCACGGGAGACACACGGCGGGUGCUAACGUCCGUCGUGAAGAGGGAAACAACCCAGACCGCCAGCUAAGGUCCCAAAGUCAUGGUUAAGUGGGAAACGAUGUGGGAAGGCCCAGACAGCCAGGAUGUUGGCUUAGAAGCAGCCAUCAUUUAAAGAAAGCGUAAUAGCUCACUGGUCGAGUCGGCCUGCGCGGAAGAUGUAACGGGGCUAAACCAUGCACCGAAGCUGCGGCAGCGACACUGUGUGUUGUUGGGUAGGGGAGCGUUCUGUAAGCCUGUGAAGGUGUGCUGUGAGGCAUGCUGGAGGUAUCAGAAGUGCGAAUGCUGACAUAAGUAACGAUAAAGCGGGUGAAAAGCCCGCUCGCCGGAAGACCAAGGGUUCCUGUCCAACGUUAAUCGGGGCAGGGUGAGUCGACCCCUAAGGCGAGGCCGAAAGGCGUAGUCGAUGGGAAACAGGUUAAUAUUCCUGUACUUGGUGUUACUGCGAAGGGGGGACGGAGAAGGCUAUGUUGGCCGGGCGACGGUUGUCCCGGUUUAAGCGUGUAGGCUGGUUUUCCAGGCAAAUCCGGAAAAUCAAGGCUGAGGCGUGAUGACGAGGCACUACGGUGCUGAAGCAACAAAUGCCCUGCUUCCAGGAAAAGCCUCUAAGCAUCAGGUAACAUCAAAUCGUACCCCAAACCGACACAGGUGGUCAGGUAGAGAAUACCAAGGCGCUUGAGAGAACUCGGGUGAAGGAACUAGGCAAAAUGGUGCCGUAACUUCGGGAGAAGGCACGCUGAUAUGUAGGUGAAGUCCCUCGCGGAUGGAGCUGAAAUCAGUCGAAGAUACCAGCUGGCUGCAACUGUUUAUUAAAAACACAGCACUGUGCAAACACGAAAGUGGACGUAUACGGUGUGACGCCUGCCCGGUGCCGGAAGGUUAAUUGAUGGGGUCAGCGCAAGCGAAGCUCUUGAUCGAAGCCCCGGUAAACGGCGGCCGUAACUAUAACGGUCCUAAGGUAGCGAAAUUCCUUGUCGGGUAAGUUCCGACCUGCACGAAUGGCGUAAUGAUGGCCAGGCUGUCUCCACCCGAGACUCAGUGAAAUUGAACUCGCUGUGAAGAUGCAGUGUACCCGCGGCAAGACGGAAAGACCCCGUGAACCUUUACUAUAGCUUGACACUGAACAUUGAGCCUUGAUGUGUAGGAUAGGUGGGAGGCUUUGAAGUGUGGACGCCAGUCUGCAUGGAGCCGACCUUGAAAUACCACCCUUUAAUGUUUGAUGUUCUAACGUGGACCCGUGAUCCGGGUUGCGGACAGUGUCUGGUGGGUAGUUUGACUGGGGCGGUCUCCUCCUAAAGAGUAACGGAGGAGCACGAAGGUUGGCUAAUCCUGGUCGGACAUCAGGAGGUUAGUGCAAUGGCAUAAGCCAGCUUGACUGCGAGCGUGACGGCGCGAGCAGGUGCGAAAGCAGGUCAUAGUGAUCCGGUGGUUCUGAAUGGAAGGGCCAUCGCUCAACGGAUAAAAGGUACUCCGGGGAUAACAGGCUGAUACCGCCCAAGAGUUCAUAUCGACGGCGGUGUUUGGCACCUCGAUGUCGGCUCAUCACAUCCUGGGGCUGAAGUAGGUCCCAAGGGUAUGGCUGUUCGCCAUUUAAAGUGGUACGCGAGCUGGGUUUAGAACGUCGUGAGACAGUUCGGUCCCUAUCUGCCGUGGGCGCUGGAGAACUGAGGGGGGCUGCUCCUAGUACGAGAGGACCGGAGUGGACGCAUCACUGGUGUUCGGGUUGUCAUGCCAAUGGCACUGCCCGGUAGCUAAAUGCGGAAGAGAUAAGUGCUGAAAGCAUCUAAGCACGAAACUUGCCCCGAGAUGAGUUCUCCCUGACCCUUUAAGGGUCCUGAAGGAACGUUGAAGACGACGACGUUGAUAGGCCGGGUGUGUAAGCGCAGCGAUGCGUUGAGCUAACCGGUACUAAUGAACCGUGAGGCUUAACCUU
RNAcentral lists this ribosomal RNA (2351 nucleotides) under Escherichia coli M9. Its description in RNAcentral is "bacterial LSU rRNA". It matches the Rfam family "Bacterial large subunit ribosomal RNA", at positions 593 to 2925 of the family's 2925-position model. The record is from RNAcentral. Lineage: Bacteria; Pseudomonadati; Pseudomonadota; Gammaproteobacteria; Enterobacterales; Enterobacteriaceae.